RNAcentral lists this ribosomal RNA (557 nucleotides) under Shinella sp. HRRP113. RNAcentral describes it as "bacterial SSU rRNA". It matches the Rfam family "Bacterial small subunit ribosomal RNA", at positions 102 to 694 of the family's 1533-position model. Lineage: Bacteria; Pseudomonadati; Pseudomonadota; Alphaproteobacteria; Hyphomicrobiales; Rhizobiaceae. The record is from RNAcentral.
ACGGGUGAGUAACGCGUGGGAACGUACCCUUUACUACGGAAUAACUCAGGGAAACUUGUGCUAAUACCGUAUGUGCCCUUCGGGGGAAAGAUUUAUCGGUAAAGGAUCGGCCCGCGUUGGAUUAGCUAGUUGGUGGGGUAAAGGCCUACCAAGGCGACGAUCCAUAGCUGGUCUGAGAGGAUGAUCAGCCACAUUGGGACUGAGACACGGCCCAAACUCCUACGGGAGGCAGCAGUGGGGAAUAUUGGACAAUGGGCGCAAGCCUGAUCCAGCCAUGCCGCGUGAGUGAUGAAGGCCCUAGGGUUGUAAAGCUCUUUCACCGGUGAAGAUAAUGACGGUAACCGGAGAAGAAGCCCCGGCUAACUUCGUGCCAGCAGCCGCGGUAAUACGAAGGGGGCUAGCGUUGUUCGGAAUUACUGGGCGUAAAGCGCACGUAGGCGGGUAUUUAAGUCAGGGGUGAAAUCCCGGAGCUCAACUCCGGAACUGCCUUUGAUACUGGGUACCUAGAGUAUGGAAGAGGUAAGUGGAAUUCCGAGUGUAGAGGUGAAAUUCGUAGA